RNAcentral lists this ribosomal RNA (1385 nucleotides) under uncultured bacterium. Its description in RNAcentral is "bacterial SSU rRNA". It matches the Rfam family "Bacterial small subunit ribosomal RNA", at positions 28 to 1381 of the family's 1533-position model. The record is from RNAcentral.
GACGAACGCUGGCGGCGUGCCUAAUACAUGCAAGUCGAGCGAGCGGAACUAACAGAUUUACUUCGGUAAUGACGUUAGGAAAGCGAGCGGCGGAUGGGUGAGUAACACGUGGGGAACCUGCCCCAUAGUCUGGGAUACCACUUGGAAACAGGUGCUAAUACCGGAUAAGAAAGCAGAUCGCAUGAUCAGCUUUUAAAAGGCGGCGUAAGCUGUCGCUAUGGGAUGGCCCCGCGGUGCAUUAGCUAGUUGGUAAGGUAAAGGCUUACCAAGGCGAUGAUGCAUAGCCGAGUUGAGAGACUGAUCGGCCACAUUGGGACUGAGACACGGCCCAAACUCCUACGGGAGGCAGCAGUAGGGAAUCUUCCACAAUGGACGCAAGUCUGAUGGAGCAACGCCGCGUGAGUGAAGAAGGUUUUCGGAUCGUAAAGCUCUGUUGUUGGUGAAGAAGGAUAGAGGUAGUAACUGGCCUUUAUUUGACGGUAAUCAACCAGAAAGUCACGGCUAACUACGUGCCAGCAGCCGCAGUAAUACGUAGGUGGCAAGCGUUGUCCGGAUUUAUUGGGCGUAAAGCGAGCGCAGGCGGAAGAAUAAGUCUGAUGUGAAAGCCCUCGGCUUAACCGAGGAACUGCAUCGGAAACUGUUUUUCUUGAGUGCAGAAGAGGAGAGUGGAACUCCAUGUGUAGCGGUGGAAUGCGUAGAUAUAUGGAAGAACACCAGUGGCGAAGGCGGCUCUCUGGUCUGCAACUGACGCUGAGGCUCGAAAGCAUGGGUAGCGAACAGGAUUAGAUACCCUGGUAGUCCAUGCCGUAAACGAUGAGUGCUAAGUGUUGGGAGGUUUCCGCCUCUCAGUGCUGCAGCUAACGCAUUAAGCACUCCGCCUGGGGAGUACGACCGCAAGGUUGAAACUCAAAGGAAUUGACGGGGGCCCGCACAAGCGGUGGAGCAUGUGGUUUAAUUCGAAGCAACGUGAAGAACCUUACCAGGUCUUGACAUCUAGUGCCAUUUGUAGAGAUACAAAGUUCCCUUCGGGGACGCUAAGACAGGUGGUGCAUGGCUGUCGUCAGCUCGUGUCGUGAGAUGUUGGGUUAAGUCCCGCAACGAGCGCAACCCUUGUUAUUAGUUGCCAGCAUUAAGUUGGGCACUCUAAUGAGACUGCCGGUGACAAACCGGAGGAAGGUGGGGAUGACGUCAAGUCAUCAUGCCCCUUAUGACCUGGGCUACACACGUGCUACAAUGGGCAGUACAACGAGAAGCGAGCUUGCGAAGGCAAGCGAAUCUCUGAAAGCUGUUUUCAGUUCGGACUGCAGUCUGCAACUCGACUGCACGAAGCUGGAAUCGCUAGUAAUCGCGGAUCAGCACGCCGCGGUGAAUACGUUCCCGGGCCU